Molecule: ribosomal RNA, 254 nt
Filed under: uncultured bacterium
Lineage: Bacteria
Description: partial 16S ribosomal RNA
Rfam family: Bacterial small subunit ribosomal RNA
Source: RNAcentral
UACGUAGGGUGCGAGCGUUGUCCGGAAUUACUGGGCGUAAAGCGCGUGUAGGCGGCUUUGCAAGUCGGGUGUGAAAGCCCUCAGCUUAACUGAGGAAGUGCGCCCGAAACUGCUUGGCUUGAGUACCGGAGAGGAUGGCGGAAUUCCCCAAGUAGAGGUGAAAUUCGUAGAUAUGGGGAGGAACACCGGUGGCGAAGGCGGCCAUCUGGACGGAUACUGACGCUGAGACGCGAAAGCGUGGGUAGCAAACAGGA